Canis lupus familiaris (dog) is the source of this 108-nucleotide non-coding RNA. The record is from Rfam. Lineage: Eukaryota; Metazoa; Chordata; Mammalia; Carnivora; Canidae.
AUCCUUUUGUAGUUCAUAUAAGAAUGAUGAUUGGGUGCUCACACCAUUGUGUGACAUGUACCUCUCCCUCAAACCUUGUUAUGAUCUUGGCACAUUACCCAUCUGAUG